GGGGAAACCCAGUGCAAUCCGUUGCACUAUCGUUAACUGAAUACAUAGGUUAACGAGGCGAACCGGGGGAACUGAAACAUCUAAGUACCCCGAGGAAAAGAAAUCAACCGAGAUUCCCCCAGUAGCGGCGAGCGAACGGGGAGCAGCCCGGAGUCUGAAUCAGCUUGUGUGUUAGUGGAACGGUCUGGAAAGUCCGACGGUACAGGGUGAUAGUCCCGUACACGAAAGCACACAUGCUGUGAACUCGAAGAGUAGGGCGGGACACGUGGUAUCCUGUCUGAAUAUGGGGGGACCAUCCUCCAAGGCUAAAUACUCCUGACUGACCGAUAGUGAACCAGUACCGUGAGGGAAAGGCGAAAAGAACCCCGGCGAGGGGAGUGAAAAAGAACCUGAAACCGUGU
RNAcentral lists this ribosomal RNA (401 nucleotides) under Enterobacter hormaechei. RNAcentral describes it as "partial 23S ribosomal RNA". It matches the Rfam family "Bacterial large subunit ribosomal RNA", at positions 120 to 561 of the family's 2925-position model. Lineage: Bacteria; Pseudomonadati; Pseudomonadota; Gammaproteobacteria; Enterobacterales; Enterobacteriaceae. RNAcentral also lists the same sequence under 1 other name. The record is from RNAcentral.